GCACUCGGUGUGCAGUAUGUUUGCACGUUUCAAUGGCGUCCACUUUUUGCUCAGGGUGUGACUUCACCACUUGCCCUGAAGAGACAGCAGAGCAUCACACCCUGCAUCACGGACAGAGAGCCGCUUCCAGACGUCUCCAGUGACAAAGACCCCUCGUCCCCGCACCUCAGUGACAAGGGCCUGAGCUCCCCGCUGGUCCGCUCCAGAGAAAACUCCUUCAGACACAGAGGCAGCGUAAACCAGCGGCCUCCCCGCAGCCCCACCACGGCUGUGCCCCUUCGCUCUGCAGACUGUCUGCGGCACGGAAACAGCAGCGACGCUCGGGCCGUGAGAGCGGUCUGUCUGCUGAUGGGUGGAGCAGCCGCAUCCUCGGCACUGGGAUACCUCAAUUCCUGUCCACCCUCCUCCUCCAACAUGGCCGUCCAUGCUCCUGAAGUGACCCACUCCACAGGAUUAUCAGAGAUGAGCGGAGGCAGCUCUUACCAUGCCUGCAGCCAAGCCAUAGAGUCACCGCAUUUUAACAGCUUCGACUUUGAGGGAGAUUCAGAUUUUGAUGCUUUUGACUGUGGAGGGUUUGCUUUUUAAUGGAAUAUGUUUACUUUAUUCGCAGGGUUCCCAGUCGUGGAAAUGUUAGGGAAUUAGAAAAUUUUUAUUUUAAGGACCAGAAAGGUAUGGAAAUGCAUAAACUCUUUAAAAAGUCAUGAAAAUUCCUGUGGGUAUAUGUCUUCAGGAUUGUAGACAUGUGUGCAGACUACUAUAUGUUUUUUAAUGCAUAGUAGUUAAAAGCAUCUGGAAAAAAAUCAUACACAUUUAUUGUCCAUAUGAUUUUGGAUGCUGCAUACUGUCAGGGAUUCUGCACGAUCACAAUCACCACCACAGUCACCAGCCCCUACACACACCUGAGUUUUGGUCACCCACACCUGCACUCUGUAAUCAAGACCUCUUCAUAAACCUCCACACUCAGUCUCCCAUUGUCUGAACUUCAAUUCACUUAUCUGACUCUCUCGUGGUACUAACCUGUCUGUAUUUAUCCCCAGACGCUCCAGUGCUCUCCCAAUCCUGUUUUCCUUGACUCCAGCACAAUUCCCGGUCAACCUUCAAAGGAUACUACACCAAUCACCUCAGAACCCAAUAACUGUUUGUGUUUCUACUCCCCUCUUGACUGUUCCUGCCAUUGCAUUCUGAAACUCAUUCAAUAAACAUACCUGUUAUUGGACUAAUCCUUUGUCUCCAGCCUGUGUUAUGACACAUACAAAGUUGUUUGUUAAUCUCUUUUCAGCAAAAGACAAAAAUAAUUACAAUUAGAAUAUGUGAAGAUGAAAAUGAUUAUAUUGGAAAAUGAAGCGUAUUUUUAGGAUCAUUAUGACUUUAUACAUUGUGAUUUAAUGUUCAUGAUAAUUUAUCACAUUCCUUUAAUACAAAAUAUUAUUUCUAAUAUUUUUCUUUUAAUUUUUGCACGAAAUAUGACCCAGAAAUCUCCUUGAAAGCUUUUGUGAGAAUCAUCCAGCGUGCCCCUUUUAACUUGUUCUGGCUAUUGUAUGUUUCAAAUAUAAUACACAUUAUGUUCCAAUAAUGUGUAGAGCUCUUAACCCUUAUUAUUAUUAUUUCUUAUUUAUCGAAUUGAAAUGAAAGUGUUAAAAAGUUUUAUAUGUCAGACAUUUGUGGAUAAAGUGAUGUAGUUUGUUUUGAUUACAAAAAUAGUCAUUAUUAUUAUUAUUAUAUUAUUACUACUGUAGGACUUUAAAAAGAUUUUAUUGUGACAAGAUUCAUUUACUUUUACAAUAUUUUUAAAAACUUCUCAUGUGCCCUUUUCUGUGACUUCUUCCCACUUUGCAUAAUUCUUGUUUGUAACAAAAUAGAUUUACAGAAUUAUUAUAUUCACUUUUUUUCCUAAUCUUUUUGCUCACAUACUUUCUCUGGG
This is a long non-coding RNA of Carassius auratus (goldfish), 1921 nucleotides long. The record is from Ensembl. Lineage: Eukaryota; Metazoa; Chordata; Actinopteri; Cypriniformes; Cyprinidae.